CGCCUUUAGGGGGCGGGGCCGGGGCGGGGCCGGUGGCCACGGGGGCGACGUCACUGGCCACGGAGGGGGCGGGGGUGGCCCCAGUAGCUCCAGAGUUGAUACUGGGGACACUGGUGGCCACUUUGGGGACGGUGGUGGCCACAUCGGAGACGGUGGUGGCCACUUUGGGGUCGUUGGUGGCCACUUUGGGGACGUUGGUGGCCACAUCAGAGACGUUGGUGGCCACGGGGGUGGCUCCAGAGUUGAUACUGGUCAUACUGGUGGCCACAGCAGAGACGUUGGUGGCCACUUUGGGGACGUUGGUGGCCACAUCAGAGACGUUGGUGGCCACGGGGGUGACGUUGGUGGCCCCCGGGGUGACGUUGGUGGCCCCCGGGGUGCCAGCGACAGCGGUGGCCUUGGGGGUGACAUUAGUGGCCACGGGGGCGCCGCUGGUGGCCACGGGGGCGCCGCCGUCCACGGUGGCCUUGGGGGUGACGUUAGUAGCCACAGGGGUGACGUUAGUAGCCCGGGGGGCGCCGCCGGUAGCCACAGCGACCUUGGUGGCCCCCGGGGUGGCCGGGGGGGCCUUGGUGAGGUUGGUGGCCACAGGGGAGGGGCNNNNNNNNNNNNNNNNNNNNNNNNNNNNNNNNNNNNNNNNNNNNNNNGAUGUGACGGGGGAGGGCGGGGCCGGCGGCUUCGAGGGCGUGGCUGCGGGUGAUGACGUCACCGAUGAUGUCAUCGAUGAGGUUGACGUCACGGAUGAUGUCAGGGAUGACGUCACGGAUGGUGACGUCCCGGGUGAUGUCACCGAUGAUGUCACCGCCGGCCCCGAUGAGGUCACCGAGGGCUUUGACGUCACUGAUGACGUCAUCGGCGGCCCCGCUGAGGUCUUUGACGCCGCUGCUGAUGUCAUCAAUGACGUCACUGACGGCCCUGCUGAGGUCACUGCGGGCUUUGACGUCGCUGCUGAUGUCAUCGCCGGCCCCGAUGAGGUCACCGCCGCCUUGGACGCUGCUGCUGAUGUCAUCGAUGACGUCACCGCCGCCCCUGGUGAUGUCACUGCUGCCUUCGACGCCGCUGAUGUCACCGCCGGCCCUGGUGACGUCACCGAGGGCUUCGACGUCACCGAUGAUGUCACUGAUGACCCCGCUGAGGUCACCGCGGCCUUGGACGGCGCCGAUGACGUCGUAGACGGCGCCGAUGACGUCACUGGCGUCUUCGAUGACGUCACGGGCGACGCCCCCGCGGGCCCUGAUGAUGUCACCGCCGUCGACGCCUUCGGUGACGUCACGGGGGGCGCUGACGUCAUCGUCGACGUCAUCGUUGACGUUGUCGUCGCCGUCGUUGUUGAUGAUGUCAUCGGGGGGGUCGAUGAUGUCAUCGGGGAGGCGGAUGAUGUCAUCGGGGGGGUCGCUGACGUCACGGCCUUGCCGUCGGGCCCCGCCCCCGCCCCGGUAGCCCCCCUGGGGGGGUCGGUCGCCCCCUGGUUUCCGGUUCCCCCCCCCUCGGUGCCGGGCGGGGCGGG
This 1507-nucleotide long non-coding RNA is filed under the name Calidris pugnax (ruff). Its description in RNAcentral is "lncRNA (ENSCPUG00000008201.1)". The record is from RNAcentral. Lineage: Eukaryota; Metazoa; Chordata; Aves; Charadriiformes; Scolopacidae.